GAUGAACGCUGGCGGCGUGCCUAAUACAUGCAAGUCGAGCGAACAGACGAGGAGCUUGCUCCUCUGACGUUAGCGGCGGACGGGUGAGUAACACGUGGAUAACCUACCUAUAAGACAGGGAUAACUUCGGGAAACCGGAGCUAAUACCGGAUAAUAUAUUGAACCGCAUGGUUCAAUAGUGAAAGACGGUUUUGCUGUCACUUAUAGAUGGAUCCGCGCCGCAUUAGCUAGUUGGUAAGGUAACGGCUUACCAAGGCAACGAUGCGUAGCCGACCUGAGAGGGUGAUCGGCCACACUGGAACUGAGACACGGUCCAGACUCCUACGGGAGGCAGCAGUAGGGAAUCUUCCGCAAUGGGCGAAAGCCUGACGGAGCAACGCCGCGUGAGUGAUGAAGGUCUUCGGAUCGUAAAACUCUGUUAUUAGGGAAGAACAAAUGUGUAUGUAACUAUGCACGUCUUGACGGUACCUAAUCAGAAAGCCACGGCUAACUACGUG
RNAcentral lists this ribosomal RNA (497 nucleotides) under uncultured bacterium. RNAcentral's name for it is "partial 16S ribosomal RNA". It matches the Rfam family "Bacterial small subunit ribosomal RNA", at positions 28 to 507 of the family's 1533-position model. The record is from RNAcentral.